UGGCCAGACUCCUACGGGAGGCAGCAGUGGGGAAUAUUGCGCAAUGGGCGCGAGCCUGAACCAGCCCCGUCGCGUGAGGGAGGACGGCCCUACGGGUUGUAAACCUCUUUUGCCGGGGAGCAACGGGCGUCACGUGUGGCGUCACUGAGAGUACCCGGAGAAAAAGCAUCGGCUAACUCCGUGCCAGCAGCCGCGGUAAUACGGAGGAUCCGAGCGUUAUCCGGAUUUAUUGGGUUUAAAGGGAGCGUAGAUGGGUUGUUAAGUCAGGUGUGAAAGUGUGCGGCUCAACCGUAAAAUUGCAAUUGAUACUGGCAGCCUUGAGUACAGUUGAGGUAGGCGGAAUUCGUGGUGUAGCGGUGAAAUGCUUAGAUAUCACGAAGAACUCCGAUUGCGAAGGCAGCCUACUAAACUGCCACUGACAUUGAUGCUCGAAAGUGUGGGUAUCAAACAGGAUUAGAUACCCUUGUA
This 468-nucleotide ribosomal RNA is filed under the name uncultured bacterium. RNAcentral's name for it is "bacterial SSU rRNA". It matches the Rfam family "Bacterial small subunit ribosomal RNA", at positions 328 to 792 of the family's 1533-position model. The record is from RNAcentral.